AGAGUUUGAUCAUGGCUCAGGAUGAACGCUGGCGGCGUGCCUAAUACAUGCAAGUCGAACGGGGAGUAGCAAUACUUCUAGUGGCGAACGGGUGAGUAACGCGUGGGUGACCUGCCCCGAAGAGAGGGAUAACAGUUCGAAAGGACUGCUAAUACCGCAUGAGGUUCCUGGGUUUAGAAACCGGGAACGAAAGCAGCAAUGCGCUUCGGGAGGGGCCUGCGUCCCAUCAGCUAGUUGGUAAGGUAACGGCCUACCAAGGCGACGACGGGUAGGGGGCCUGAGAGGGUGACCCCCCACACUGGCACUGAAACACGGGCCAGACACCUACGGGUGGCAGCAGUAGGGAAUAUUGCACAAUGGGCGCAAGCCUGAUGCAGCAACGCCGCGUGCGCGAUGAAGGCCUUCGGGUUGUAAAGCGCUUUUCUGGGAGACGAGGAAGGACGGUAUCCCAGGAAGAAGGCUCGGCUAACUACGUGCCAGCAGCCGCGGUAAUAC
RNAcentral lists this ribosomal RNA (495 nucleotides) under uncultured bacterium. Its description in RNAcentral is "bacterial SSU rRNA". It matches the Rfam family "Bacterial small subunit ribosomal RNA", at positions 8 to 526 of the family's 1533-position model. The record is from RNAcentral.